UUCUGGUUGGUAAUAAAUGUGACUUGGA
This 28-nucleotide non-coding RNA is filed under the name Cricetulus griseus (Chinese hamster). The record is from RNAcentral. Lineage: Eukaryota; Metazoa; Chordata; Mammalia; Rodentia; Cricetidae.